RNAcentral lists this transfer RNA (76 nucleotides) under Firmicutes bacterium ADurb.Bin248. RNAcentral's name for it is "tRNA-Met". It matches the Rfam family "tRNA". Rfam says of the family: Transfer RNA (tRNA) molecules are approximately 80 nucleotides in length. Their secondary structure includes four short double-helical elements and three loops (D, anti-codon, and T loops). Lineage: Bacteria; Bacillati; Bacillota. The record is from RNAcentral. RNAcentral also lists the same sequence under 11 other names.
CGCGGGGUAGAGCAGUUGGUAGCUCGUCGGGCUCAUAACCCGGAGGUCGUAGGUUCAAGUCCUUCCCCCGCAACCA